This 497-nucleotide ribosomal RNA is filed under the name uncultured bacterium. RNAcentral's name for it is "partial 16S ribosomal RNA". It matches the Rfam family "Bacterial small subunit ribosomal RNA", at positions 30 to 507 of the family's 1533-position model. The record is from RNAcentral.
AUUGAACGCUGGCGGCAGGCCUAAUACAUGCAAGUCGAGCGGACGAACGGAGCUCGCGCUUGGCUUCAGUGGCGGACGGGCGAGUAAUGACUAGGAAUCUGCCCGGCAGUUGGGGAUAACGUCCGGUAAGGGGCGCUAAUAUCGUACACGUUCUGAGUGUGAAAGGCGGGGAUCUUCAGAGCUCACCCUAUUUGCUGUCCCUAGUUCGUAUAAGCGAGCUGCAUUAGCUAGUUGGUAAGGUAACGGCCUACCAAGGCUACGAUGCGUAGCCGAUCUGAGAGGAUGAUCAGUCACACUGGAACUGAGACACGGUCCAGACUCCUACGGGAGGCAGCAGUGGGGAAUCUUCGGCAAUGGGCGAAAGCCUGAUGCAGCCAUGCCGCGUGAGUGAAGAAGGUCUUCGGAUUGUAAAACUCUUUAAGUUGGGAAGAAGAUCAGUGAGAGAAUACCUGGCUGUUUUGACGUUACCAACAGAGUAAGCAACGGCUAACUUCGUG